UGUCAGCAGCCGCGGUAAUACCAGCACCUCAAGCGGUCAGGAUGAUUAUUGGGCCUAAAGCAUCCGUAGCCGGCGCUAUAAGUUUUCGGUUAAAUCUGUACGCUCAACGUACAGGCUGCCGGGAAUACUGUAGCGCUAGGGAGUGGGAGAGGUAGACGGUACUCGGUAGGAAGGGGUAAAAUCCUUUGAUCUAUUGAUGACCACCUGUGGCGAAGGCGGUCUACCAGAACACGUCCGACGUUGAGGGAUGAAAGCUGGGUGAGCAAACCGGAUUAGAUA
Molecule: ribosomal RNA, 279 nt
Filed under: uncultured bacterium
Lineage: Bacteria
Description: partial 16S ribosomal RNA
Rfam family: Archaeal small subunit ribosomal RNA
Source: RNAcentral